CCUACGGGAGGCAGCAGUAGGGAAUAUUGCUCAAUGGGGGAAACCCUGAAGCAGCAACGCCGCGUGGAGGAUGAAGGUUUUCGGCUUGUAAACCCCUUUUGUUAGAGAAGAUAAUGACGGUAUCUAACGAAUAAGCACCGGCUAACUCCGUGCCAGCAGCCGCGGUAAUACGGCGGGUGCAAGGGUUACUCGGAAUCACCGGGCGUAAAGAGGACGUAGGCGGGAUAGCAAGGCAGAUGUGAAAUCCUAUGGCUUAACCAUAGAACCGCCUUUGAAACUGUUAUUCUAGAGUAUUGGAGAGGUAGGUGGAAUGCGUGGUGUAGGGGUAAAAUCCGUAGAGAUCAAGAGGAAUACUCAUUGCGAAGGCGACCUGCUAGAACAUAACUGACGCUGAUGCGCGAAAGCGUGGGGAGCAAACAGGAUUAGAUACCCGUGUAGUC
RNAcentral lists this ribosomal RNA (440 nucleotides) under uncultured bacterium. RNAcentral describes it as "partial 16S ribosomal RNA". It matches the Rfam family "Bacterial small subunit ribosomal RNA", at positions 338 to 795 of the family's 1533-position model. The record is from RNAcentral.